CGGGGCGUAGCGCAGUCCGGUAGCGCACCUGGUUCGGGACCAGGGAGUCGCCGGUUCAAAUCCGGCCGCCCCGA
This 74-nucleotide transfer RNA is filed under the name Candidatus Hydrogenedentes bacterium CG1_02_42_14. RNAcentral describes it as "tRNA-Pro". It matches the Rfam family "tRNA". Rfam says of the family: Transfer RNA (tRNA) molecules are approximately 80 nucleotides in length. Their secondary structure includes four short double-helical elements and three loops (D, anti-codon, and T loops). Further hydrogen bonds mediate the characteristic L-shaped molecular structure. tRNAs have two regions of fundamental functional importance: the anti-codon, which is responsible for specific mRNA codon recognition, and the 3' end, to which the tRNAs corresponding amino acid is attached (by aminoacyl-tRNA synthetases). tRNAs cope with the degeneracy of the genetic code in two manners: having more than one tRNA (with a specific anti-codon) for a particular amino acid; and 'wobble' base-pairing, i.e. permitting non-standard base-pairing at the 3rd anti-codon position. Lineage: Bacteria; Pseudomonadati; Candidatus Hydrogenedentota. RNAcentral also lists the same sequence under 2 other names. The record is from RNAcentral.